Molecule: long non-coding RNA, 300 nt
Organism: Cuculus canorus (common cuckoo)
Lineage: Eukaryota; Metazoa; Chordata; Aves; Cuculiformes; Cuculidae
Exons: 2
Source: RefSeq, a predicted model, not a curated record
UCAGAACACACUAGAUUCGUGUUCGUAUUUUACAGGCUAUAUAUAUACUUGGUGACCCUCUUCCCAGGAUAUAUUGCAGGUCUAACCUCUAGCCUUGCUUGGCAUAAAUAUUUCUGCCUUUAGCACUGGAGGUCUCAUAACGAAAAUCUUGCAGAAAAAAUUAGACAACUGUGAACUGGGUGAAAGUUCAUUUGUGUUAAGAAAGAAAAGAAGAUAAGAAAGAAAAUUCCUCCAGCCACAUUCUUACUUUGGACUAAUGUUCACCCAUGUGAAACAGAGCAUUUUUUCCUCUUCCUACAG